AUUGAACGCUGGCGGCAGGCCUAACACAUGCAAGUCGAGCGGAGCGGCGGACGGGUGAGUAAUGCCUAGGAAUCUGCCUGGUAGUGGGGGAUAACGUCCGGAUACGGGCGCUAAUUCCGCAUACUAUCAGACGAGCCAAGGUAGGAUGAGCUAGUUGGUGGGUUAAAGGCCUACCAAGGCGACGAUCCGUAACUGGUCUGAGAGGAUGAUCAGUCACACUGGAACUGAGACACGGCCCAGACUCCUACGGGAGGCAGCAGUGGGGAAUAUUGGACAAUGGGCGAAAGCCUGAUGCAGCCAUGCCGCGUGUAUGAAGAAGGUCUUCGGAUUGUAAAGCACUUUAAGUUGGGAGGCGUUACCAACAGAAUAAGCACCGGCUAACUUCGUGCCAGCAGCCGCGGUAAUAC
This 407-nucleotide ribosomal RNA is filed under the name uncultured bacterium. RNAcentral's name for it is "partial 16S ribosomal RNA". It matches the Rfam family "Bacterial small subunit ribosomal RNA", at positions 30 to 526 of the family's 1533-position model. The record is from RNAcentral.